AAAAUGUAUAUAAAUAUAUAUGUGAAUAUGAAUAGAUAUCAAUGUGAAUAUAAACAAAUAUGGAUAUGGAUAUGGAUAUAUGAAUAUGAAUAUGUGUAUAUAAAUAAGUAUAUAAAUAUGAGUAUACAUGAAUAUGUGUUGAUAUGAAUAUGUACAUGCAUAUGAAUAUGAAUUUGUGAAUAUUUCAUUAAUAUGAAUAUGUACAUGAAUGUGAAUGUUAAUGGAUACACAUAUGUUAAUGAAUAUGAUUAGUAUAAGAACAUGAACAAGUGCAUUACAUGAAUAUGAUUAUUUGUAUGAAUAUGAAUACAUACAUGAAUGUGUAUAUAAAUAUGAAUAUGUGUAUUAAUAUGUAUAUGAAUAUGUGUAUGAAUAUAUAGUGAUGUAUCUAUGAUUUAGAUACCAGUGCCUUAACUCUCAUGGGGAAUUGAUCACACUGCCCUCCACUACACGAGGUGAGUAGCUCUCCAUGACCUCAGCACAAUGAGGGCUAUUGGCCCUCAUGGGGGAAGUAGGUCCAGGCAUCCUGUACCCAGUGAGGGGACUAUAUCCCCAUGCCCUCCACCUGGUGAGUGGAUUAAAGUCAUCUAUCCUCAACCUGACCAGUGUUAAUCCCUAUGCCCUCCAUCUGAUGAGAUCCCACUCCAGAAUAUUCCAGUUCAAACCCUAAAAGGAUGAGACUGGGGCAGAUGCUAUAGAUAGAUCUAUAGAUGCCUCUAAACGUAUCCCAGUGCCUUCUGCUCCGUAUGGAGAAUGGAACACUGUGCACCCCUCUAGAUGAAGGCAGUAGAUCUCCACGUUCUCUGACAGUUGAGGGGAGUAGUUCCUCUUUGGGGAAAUUAGGUCUCUGUGUCCUUUGCACCUGGAGAGGUACAGACCCCCAUGCCCUCCUCCUGGUGAGAGGUAUAGAACAAUAAUACUCUACCUGAUCAGGGGAAUUACUCUCUGCAGUCCUUCUGAUGAUUUCCUAUUCCAGUAUUCAAGUUCUAUGUUCAAAGUAUGCAUUGGAGAAGACAUUAAAAUGUAUAGAAAUAUGUAUAUGAAAACAUGUAUGAAGGUGUGUAUGCAUGCAUGCAUACAUAUAAGUAUGUAUAUGAAAAGGAUUUUUAAUAUGUAUAUGAAUAUUAACAUGAAUA
This 1136-nucleotide long non-coding RNA is filed under the name Marmota monax (woodchuck). The record is from RNAcentral. Lineage: Eukaryota; Metazoa; Chordata; Mammalia; Rodentia; Sciuridae.